This 517-nucleotide ribosomal RNA is filed under the name uncultured bacterium. Its description in RNAcentral is "bacterial SSU rRNA". It matches the Rfam family "Bacterial small subunit ribosomal RNA", at positions 95 to 606 of the family's 1533-position model. The record is from RNAcentral.
GCGGCGGACGGGUGAGUAAUGCCUAGGAAUCUGCCUAGUAGUGGGGGAUAACUUGCCGAAAGGUAAGCUAAUACCGCAUACGUCCUACGGGAGAAAGCAGGGGACUCUUCGGAGCCUUGCGCUAUUAGAUGAGCCUAGGUCGGAUUAGUUAGUUGGUGAGGUAAUGGCUCACCAAGACCGCGAUCCGUAACUGGUCUGAGAGGAUGAUCAGUCACACUGGAACUGAGACACGGUCCAGACUCCUACGGGAGGCAGCAGUGGGGAAUAUUGGACAAUGGGGGAAACCCUGAUCCAGCCAUGCCGCGUGUGUGAAGAAGGUCUUAGGAUUGUAAAGCACUUUAAGUUGGGAGGAAGGGCAGUUAACUAAUACUUGACUGUUUUGACGUUACCGACAGAAUAAGCACCGGCUAACUUCGUGCCAGCAGCCGCGGUAAUACGAAGGGUGCAAGCGUUAAUCGGAAUUACUGGGCGUAAAGCGCGCGUAGGUGGUUCGUUAAGUUAGGAGUGAAAGCCCCGG